Molecule: small nuclear RNA, 147 nt
Filed under: Cebus imitator (Panamanian white-faced capuchin)
Lineage: Eukaryota; Metazoa; Chordata; Mammalia; Primates; Cebidae
Description: U1 spliceosomal RNA (ENSCCAG00000020381.1)
Rfam family: U1 spliceosomal RNA
About the family: U1 is a small nuclear RNA (snRNA) component of the spliceosome (involved in pre-mRNA splicing). Its 5' end forms complementary base pairs with the 5' splice junction, thus defining the 5' donor site of an intron. There are significant differences in sequence and secondary structure between metazoan and yeast U1 snRNAs, the latter being much longer (568 nucleotides as compared to 164 nucleotides in human).
Source: RNAcentral
CUACUUACCUGGCAGGGGAGAUACUAUGAUCACGAAGGUGGUUUUCCCAGGGUGAGGCUUAUCCAUUGCACUCCGGAUGUGCUGACCCCUGCAAUUUCCCCAAAUGUGGGAAACUUGACUGCAUAAUUUGUGGUAGUGGGCGACUGU